Molecule: ribosomal RNA, 1009 nt
Filed under: food metagenome
Description: bacterial LSU rRNA
Rfam family: Bacterial large subunit ribosomal RNA
Source: RNAcentral
GUGAGUUGAGAAGCUUGCUGGAGGUAUCAGAAGUGCGAAUGCUGACAUGAGUAACGACAAUGCGAGUGAAAAACUUGCACGCCGAAAGACCAAGGUUUCCUGCGCAACGUUAAUCGACGCAGGGUUAGUCGGUCCCUAAGGCGAGGCUGAAAAGCGUAGUCGAUGGAAAACAGGUUAAUAUUCCUGUACUUCCGAUUGUUGCGAUGGAGGGACGGAGAAGGCUAGGCCAGCUUGGCGUUGGUAGUCCAAGUUUAAGGUGGUAGGCUGAGAUCUUAGGCAAAUCCGGGAUCUCAAGGCCGAGAGCUGAUGACGAGUUGCCUUUAGGCGACGAAGUGGUUGAUGCCAUGCUUCCAAGAAAAGCUCCUAAGCUUCAGACAAUCGGGAACCGUACCCCAAACCGACACAGGUGGUUAGGUAGAGAAUACCAAGGCGCUUGAGAGAACUCGGGUGAAGGAACUAGGCAAAAUGGCACCGUAACUUCGGGAGAAGGUGCGCCGGCGAAGGUGAAGGGUUUACCCCGUAAGCUUUUGCCGGUCGAAGAUACCAGGCCGCUGCGACUGUUUAUUAAAAACACAGCACUCUGCAAACACGAAAGUGGACGUAUAGGGUGUGACGCCUGCCCGGUGCCGGAAGGUUAAUUGAUGGGGUUAGCUAACGCGAAGCUCUUGAUCGAAGCCCCGGUAAACGGCGGCCGUAACUAUAACGGUCCUAAGGUAGCGAAAUUCCUUGUCGGGUAAGUUCCGACCCGCACGAAUGGCGUAACGAUGGCGGCGCUGUCUCCACCCGAGACUCAGUGAAAUUGAAAUCGCUGUGAAGAUGCAGUGUAUCCGCGGCUAGACGGAAAGACCCCGUGAACCUUUACUAUAGCUUUGCACUGGACUUUGAAUUUGCUUGUGUAGGAUAGGUGGGAGGCUUUGAAGUGGGGACGCCAGUUCUCAUGGAGCCAUCCUUGAAAUACCACCCUGGCAACUUUGAGGUUCUAACUCAGGUCCGUUAUCCGGAUCGAGGA